CCGAUAGUGAACCAGUACCGUGAGGGAAAGGCGAAAAGAACCCCGGCGAGGGGAGUGAAAAAGAACCUGAAACCGUGUACGUACAAGCAGUGGGAGCACCCUUUGGGUGUGACUGCGUACCUUUUGUAUAAUGGGUCAGCGACUUAUAUUCUGUAGCAAGGUUAACCGAAUAGGGGAGCCGGAGGGAAACCGAGUCUUAACCGGGCGUUAAGUUGCAGGGUAUAGACCCGAAACCCGGUGAUCUAGCCAUGGGCAGGUUGAAGGUUGGGUAACACUAACUGGAGGACCGAACCGACUAAUGUUGAAAAAUUAGCGGAUGACCUGUGGCUGGGGGUGAAAGGCCAAUCAAACCGGGAGAUAGCUGGUUCUCCCCGAAAGCUAUUUAGGUAGCGCCUCGUGAAUUCAUCUCCGGGGGUAGAGCACUGUUUCGGCUAGGGGGCCAUCCCGGCUUACCAACCCGAUGCAAACUGCGAAUACCGGAGAAUGUUAUCACGGGAGACACACGGCGGGUGCUAACGUCCGUCGUGAAGAGGGAAACAACCCAGACCGCCAGCUAAGGUCCCAAAGUCAUGGUUAAGUGGGAAACGAUGUGGGAAGGCCCAGACAGCCAGGAUGUUGGCUUAGAAGCAGCCAUCAUUUAAAGAAAGCGUAAUAGCUCACUGGUCGAGUCGGCCUGCGCGGAAGAUGUAACGGGGCUAAACCAUGCACCGAAGCUGCGGCAGCGACACUGUGUGUUGUUGGGUAGGGGAGCGUUCUGUAAG
RNAcentral lists this ribosomal RNA (761 nucleotides) under Salmonella enterica subsp. enterica serovar Enteritidis. RNAcentral's name for it is "partial 23S ribosomal RNA". It matches the Rfam family "Bacterial large subunit ribosomal RNA", at positions 484 to 1247 of the family's 2925-position model. Lineage: Bacteria; Pseudomonadati; Pseudomonadota; Gammaproteobacteria; Enterobacterales; Enterobacteriaceae. The record is from RNAcentral.